GGCUUCAUAACUCAGUUGGUUAGAGUAUCAUGUUAACACUUCCAAACGUGAAACGGUUAAACCGUGAAAGUCCCCGGUUCGAGUCCGGGUGAAGUCA
Malassezia cuniculi is the source of this 97-nucleotide non-coding RNA. The record is from the annotation of a GenBank genome assembly. Lineage: Eukaryota; Fungi; Basidiomycota; Malasseziomycetes; Malasseziales; Malasseziaceae.